Molecule: ribosomal RNA, 253 nt
Filed under: uncultured bacterium
Lineage: Bacteria
Description: partial 16S ribosomal RNA
Rfam family: Bacterial small subunit ribosomal RNA
Source: RNAcentral
UACGUAGGGGGCUAGCGUUGUCCGGAAUCAUUGGGCGUAAAGGGCUCGUAGGUGGCCAACUAAGUCAGACGUGAAAUCCCUCGGCUUAACCGGGGAACUGCAUCUGAUACUGGAUGGCUUGAGUUUGGGAGAGGGAUGCGGAAUUCCAGGUGUAGCGGUGAAAUGCGUAGAUAUCUGGAGGAACACCGGUGGCGAAGGCGGCAUCCUGGACCAACACUGACACUGAGGAGCGAAAGCCAGGGGAGCAAACGGG